Molecule: long non-coding RNA, 767 nt
Filed under: Linum usitatissimum (flax)
Lineage: Eukaryota; Viridiplantae; Streptophyta; Magnoliopsida; Malpighiales; Linaceae
Description: long non-coding RNA (LUSI_LNC004409)
Source: RNAcentral
GGGAAUGUUUUAGUUUUCAUUUUAUUAGGAGAGAAAUCAACGACAUCGCGUAUGAAUUAGCUCGACGAUCAAUUUUCCAUAUAUCUUCGUUUGAGGGGCAUACACCUCCGCUUCGGCUUGUUAAUGCUCUUCAAACAUCUGCAUUAAUAAAAUUUGAUCAUCGCUUGUGUCGAAAAAAAAGCUUCCUUUUAUUUUCUUCUGGACACAAAUUAAGAACAAAAUACAACAAAAAUCAACGUCUGAAAUCGAUCUCUCCUCAUAUUUUCAUGAUGAACAUACAAGAAAAAUAUUUAAAAUUUCCAUGGCUUUUUCGUCAAGCAGUCCUCUUCUCCCAGGCCUUCGCAGAGAUCCUGCUCAACCAUGUCGUGCCCUUCCACUGACUGAAUUAUAUAUAAAGAACAAAUUUUUAAUGGUGAAUGAAUAUUAUCAUAAUUCAUCGGAAAAGAAGAAAAUGUAAUGAUCGACAAAGGGAAAACAUUACCUUGUGGGAGCUGCUGACGUCGAAGGAUUCGGGAUCGCCACGAUCGACCAUAGGGUCGAAAUUGUGGCCGGGGGGAAAGAAAAAAGGAAGAGGCCGACAAAGGAAAGAGGCAAGUCGGUGGGAGCAACUACGGGAGCUAGCGGAACUACUCCGGCAUGAUCGGGCCGGACUGCGGUGGUGGAGAGGCUGAAGAGGAGCAGCAAGGUGGUUAUCACCGUAACAUUUGAAGCCAUCAUGUUAAAAUUGUUCACUUUUGUUUUUUUUUACUUUAAAAUUUGGUGAAAUU